GCUUCCGCCCUGCGCGCUAACCCAAGACGGGAGCUCGAGAGCUUGAUCCUGCGCGAGUUUACAGACUGCCCUCUUCCCUUUUUGCAUCGAAGACCACGACUCCCAAGAGGUAAUGCGUCGGCCCGGGACUACAUCUCCCGGCAUGCAUCGCCGGCGGGUCCGCGAGUUCUCACCAUCGCAGCUGGACUAUUAGCGGGGGCCCUAGCGCUCUUGUGGUUUGUUUCGGCAGUAUCUGAAUGUCAGCUUUUGGCACUUCUGGUCGCUCUGAGCCUCCUACUCGCAUUCCUGGAGCAAGGAAAAGUGUAAUGUUGGUUCGAGCUCAAGAAGGAAUCUGGAUUCCGGUAACUUUGCCCAGACCUUGGGAAUCCUCCCCUUCAAUACAUUUAAUUAAUGAAGUGUUACAGUGAAUUCUAAAAAGAUCUAAGAGAUUUAUUUUCACUUUAAUUGCUGUUAUCAUGGGCCUAAUUACAGUCACUGCAGUGGCCACCACUGCCGGAAUGGCAUUACACCAGUCCAUUCAAGCGGCUCAUUUUGUUAAUGGUUGGCAAGCCAAUUCCAUCCAAAUGUGGAAUUCUCAACAAGGCAUCGAUCGAAAAUUGGCAAAUCAAAUUAGUGAUUUAAGACAGUCUGUUAUUUGGCUUGGAGAUCAGGUAGUGAGUCUCGAGCAUCACAUGCAAAUGCAGUACGAUUGGAACACUUGAGAUUUCUGCAUCACCCCGUAUUCCUAUAACGAGACUGAUCAUUCAUGGGAAAUGGUCAAAAGACAUCUUCUGGGUAGGGAAGAUAAUUUAUCACUGGACAUAACUAAAUUAAAGAGACAAAUUUUUGAAGCCUCUCAAGCUCACUUAUCCAUUGUGCCUGGAGCUGAGGCGUUAGAUCAGGUGGCAGAAAAUCUUUCUGGAUUAAACCCCAGGACUUGGAUUAAGUCUAUUGGGGGCUCCACUGUAGUAAAUUUUGGAAUUAUGUUUCUCUGUUUAAUCGGCUUGUUUUUAGUUUGCCAGACUAGUCAAAGAAUCCUGCGUCAAAAUCAAGAGAACGAACAAGCCUUCAUUGCCAUGGCACAUUUAUUAUAAAAAGAAAGGGAGAGAUGUUGCGGGAAGUCAGGGACCCCGGAGGGACCAGCUGAAGCCAUGGCAGAAGAACAUAAAUUGUGAAGAUUUCAUGGACAUUUAUUAGUUCCCCAAUCAAUACCCUUGUGAUUUCCUAUGCCUGUCUUUACUUUAAUCUCUUAAUCCCGUCAUCUUCGUAAACUGAGGAGGAUGUAUGUCGCCUCAGGACCCUGUGAUGAUUGUGUUAACUGCACAAAUUGUAGAGCAUUUGUGUUUGAACAAUAUGAAAUCUGGGCACCUUGAAAAAAGAACAGGAUAACAGUGAUGUUCACGGAACAAGAGAGAUAACCUUAAACUCUGACUGCCGGUGAGCUGGACGGAACAGAGCCAUAUUUCUCUUCUUUCAAAAGCAAAUGGGAGAAAUAUCACUGAAUUCUUUUUCUCAGCAAGGAACAUCCCUGAGAAAGAGAAUGCAUCCCUGAGGGUAGGCCUCUGAAAUGGCUGCUUCAGGGCAGCUGUCUUUUAUGGUCGCAGCUGUGGGGAUGAAAUAAGCCCCAGUUUCUCAGAGUGCUCCCAGGCUUAUUAGGACGAGGAAAUUCCUGCCUAAUAAAUUUUGGUCAGACCAGUUGUCUGCUCUCAAACCCUGUCUCCUGAUAAGAUGUUAUCAAUGACAAUGCAUGCCCGAAACUUCAUUAGCAAUUUUAAUUUCACCCCAGUCCUGUGGUCCUGUGAUCUCGCCCUGCCUCCAUUUACCUUGUGAUAUCUUAUUACCUUGUGAAGCAUGGGAUCUCUGUGACCCAUACCCUAUUUGUACACUCCCUCCCCUUUUGAAAAUCACUAAUAAAAAAUUUGCUGGUUUUAUGGCUCAGGGGGCAUCACAGAACCUGCCAACAUGUGAUGUCUGCCCUGGACACCCAGCUUUAAAAUUUCUCUCUUUUGUACUCUGUCCCUUUAUUUCUCAAACCGGCCAACACUUAGGGAAAAUAGAAAAGAACCUACAUGAAAUAUUGGGGGUGAAUUUCUCCUGAUAUCUGGCUGAAUUUCCCCCGACAGGCCACAGGGACCGCAAUUCCUGGGCAAGUCCUUGUGCCAUGCUAGGCUCAGAGCCAGCGGACUUUGGGGUGCACACAACCUAGUGAGAUACCAGCUGGGGUGGCCAAGGGAGUACUUGCAUCACCCCUCCCAGAACCCCAGGCAGUGCAGCUCACAGCUCUAGGAGAGACUCCUUCCUCCUGAUUGAGGAGAGGAGGGAAGAGUAAAGAGAACUUUGUCUUGCAUCUUGGAUACCAGCUCAACUACCAUAGAAUCGGGCACCAGGCAAAGUCCUGAGGCUUCAUUCCAGGCCCUUGCUGCUGGAUGACAUUUCUAGACACAUCCUGGGCUAGAAGGGAGCCUGCUGCCUUGAAGAGAAGGACCCAGUCCUGGCAGGAUUCAUCACUUGCUUACUAAAGAGCCAUUGGGACCUGAAUAGUCAG
Molecule: long non-coding RNA, 2524 nt
Filed under: Homo sapiens (human)
Lineage: Eukaryota; Metazoa; Chordata; Mammalia; Primates; Hominidae
Description: non-protein coding RAD51-AS1:11
Source: RNAcentral